GAUGAACGCUGGCGGCGUGCCUAAUACAUGCAAGUCGAGCGAACAGAUGAGGAGCUUGCUCCUCUGACGUUGGCGACGGACGGGUUAGUACCACGUGGAUAACCUACUUAUAAGACUGGGAUAACUUCGGACAACCGGAGCUACUACCGGAUAAUUCAUUCAACCGCAUGGUUCAUUAGUGAAAGCCGGUUUUGCUGUCACUUUUAGAUGUAUCCGGGCGGCGUUAGCUGGUUGGUAAGGUAACGGCUUACCAAGGCAACGAUGCGUAGCCGACGUGAGAGACGGAUCGGCCACACGGGAACUGGACCGCGGUCCAGAGUCCUACGGGAGGCAGCAGUAGGGAAUCUUCCGCAGUGGGCGAAAGCUUGACGGAGCAACGCCGCGUGAGUGAUGAAGGUCUUCGGAUCGUAAAACUCUGUUAUUAGGGAAGAACAAAUGUGUAAGUAACUAUGCACGUCUUGACGGUACCGAAUCAGAAAGCCACGGCUAACUACGUG
RNAcentral lists this ribosomal RNA (497 nucleotides) under uncultured bacterium. Its description in RNAcentral is "partial 16S ribosomal RNA". It matches the Rfam family "Bacterial small subunit ribosomal RNA", at positions 28 to 507 of the family's 1533-position model. The record is from RNAcentral.